CGCAAAUCUCAAUCCGCUGGCAUCAGAUCCGGGUGAGAAAUUCAGUGGAAAACAAAAAGCACUCUAUGAUUGUCUGUCUGGCUGUGCGUUGUGCAAAGAAAGACGUCAAAACUUAAUGCAUCAGCCAAACACAGGCAUGGAAAUGAUCAGAAACACAAGCAAACAACUUUGAAAAAAGGACAAAGGACCAAAUUUAGAGAAACACGAGUUGUUCCUUGUGUGUUGGGCAGUUCCCUGGGGUCCGCUUUAGCCCUGAGCUUACCUUCACUGAGCAGCACCGCUGUGACCACUGACAGGCUGAAUCACUGACAGACUCACUGACUUUAAAAGAUGAGCUGCAGCAGGGCCUGUUCAAGAUU
Labeo rohita (rohu) is the source of this 359-nucleotide long non-coding RNA. RefSeq lists it as uncharacterized. The record is from RefSeq and is a predicted model, not a curated record. The transcript is spliced from 3 exons. NCBI's taxonomy places the organism in Eukaryota, Metazoa, Chordata, Actinopteri, Cypriniformes, Cyprinidae.